RNAcentral lists this ribosomal RNA (542 nucleotides) under embryophyte environmental sample. RNAcentral's name for it is "eukaryotic LSU rRNA". The stretch from base 109 to 264 matches the Rfam family "5.8S ribosomal RNA". The record is from RNAcentral. Lineage: Eukaryota; Viridiplantae; Streptophyta.
AAGGAGAAGUCGUAACAAGGUUUCCGUAGGUGAACCUGCGGAAAACGAAUCUGACUCCUGCCUCGGUGCAUUGCAUCGUGUCGGCGAGUGUAUUCGAUAAGUCAUAACGACUCUCGGCAACGGAUAUCUCGGCUCUCGCAUCGAUGAAGAACGUAGCAAAAUGCGAUACGUGGUGUGAAUUGCAGGAUCCCGUGAACCAUCGAGUUUUUGAACGCAAGUUGCGCCCGAAGCCUUUAGGCCGAGGGCACGUCUGCCUGGGCGUCACGCACCGUUGCCCCCCAAACCCCCUCAGUCCUCCACGGAGGAUUGGCGAGGCGCGUGGGGGGCGUAAAGUGGCUUCCCGUCGGCUUUGUCCCGCGGUUGGCCUAAAAAUGAAUCCCUAGCCGCGGUGCGCGCGGCAUUCGGUGGUCAUCGAUCCCUUUCGUUACCCCGCCGCGCGCUCACGUGCCGCGAAGGAUGUCACACUAGUAAACCCGACGCCUCGCUUUGUGAAGAGCGGAGCUUACAACGCGACCCCAGGUCAGGCGGGGCUACCCGCUGAA